AAAUCCAGUCGCUGACUGCCCCUCCCCUCCCGAGUUGCGCCGCUCCCUUCAGCGCCCUAAGAGAUCAGCAACACCCACUAAAAUCCACCAGAUCGAGGUCGCACCCCUCAUGCCCUUCCUCCUCUGACUACACCACCGUCGUCUCUACCACGACGAGGAGGAGACCUGCACGAGGAGGUGACCACUCAAUACAACGGUCGGCGUCGGCAGAGUAGCUUGAGGAGGCUCGGCAUCAGCACCUCACCAGGACUCCAGAGUAGCUUGAGGAGGCUGGCCUCGACGUUUUGGUCCAGCUGGUUGACCGUACCUCCGGUUCCUUCUCCGGCAACCACAAACGACCGUGUUUCUUGCGGUUUGCUGAUGACAUCUCAUAACACAAGCUAGGGGAUGAAAAGCACGUGAAGAUGCGGACGUCUUAUAGUUGUGACCAGCAUCUGUUUGUGUUCAACUUUCUGUAGAUUUACAUCUGAUAAUUAAUUUUGCUCUGCCUUUCCAAUCUUGCUGGAAUUUUGUUGCUUAACACACUAGCAGCUGUUUUAUGUCAAUAAUGUUUAUUAUUCAGUGUAAGCUAAUGUAGCUAUUGUGCCAUCUUAAAGAUUGUUGAGUUAUUAUUACAGCCCUCAAGUUAA
Long non-coding RNA from Triticum aestivum (bread wheat), 629 nucleotides. RefSeq lists it as uncharacterized. The transcript has 2 exons. The record is from RefSeq and is a predicted model, not a curated record. Lineage: Eukaryota; Viridiplantae; Streptophyta; Magnoliopsida; Poales; Poaceae.